Molecule: long non-coding RNA, 1106 nt
Organism: Gossypium arboreum
Lineage: Eukaryota; Viridiplantae; Streptophyta; Magnoliopsida; Malvales; Malvaceae
Exons: 3
Source: RefSeq, a predicted model, not a curated record
ACUGAUGCAUUAAAUGGAAGAAAAAAAAGGGUUACAUCCCACCCACUAUUAGCUGUCAAAAUAAAUUGCCAUUAAGAUCUGUUUCCCCUAACUUAACUUAAAAAAACUUCACAAAAGCAGCCCUUAAAGAAAACCAAAAAUUAAAACCCUAAUAAUCCUAAUUCAGAACAAAACAAUCAAACAAAACCAAAGAAAUCCGGUGUGUAACCAAACCGUCAGCCGCCUUCUUUUUUUACCUUUCGUCUCUUCAUCAGUGUUUGUAGCAGGAGUGGAUCUAUAUUUCUGAUAUUCUCGAAACUUCUUCUCUGCCCAUUCUCCCUCUGUCCAGAGCUGGUAUUCUUUCCACUUUUUCUGGUGCUUCCUUGAUCCAAAACAUCGAAGAGUCGAACCUUUUUCCUUUCUGUGCCAUUUCGUGUGCUGCACGAUUCGCCAUACGAGGUACGAAUCUAAACUUUAUAUAAUCAAAAUUCUUAAUCUUGCUUUACUUUCUUUUAUCAAAGCAGCACUAACCGAUUCAUCUUCUAUUGCAUCCACCACUUUUUUGAUAAUGCUAAAUGAGUCCCUUUCAACCACUAUUCUCCGAAAACCUAGUUCUUCAGUAUAGAUUAACGCCUGAACACAUGUUCAUGCUUCUGCAAUUGUCGCAUCUCUCACAUGCAAAUUUGGGACUUGUUCGGUAAAACGACACUCACGAAAGAUGUGUUCAACAUAUUCUUCAUUAUUUCGACAUACUGGGCAUAAAUUUUGUACUCCAAUAUUUCUUUUGCUGUAAAUUUGAUAAUAUGGGCAUGUAAUUUUUAAUGAUUUUCCAGCAUGUAAUAUUUCUUCAUAUUUUUGUAAAGAGGGAUUUUUAUAACUCAUUUCGAUUAUCACUGGUGGUUGUAUCUGCUAAUUCAAGCCAUCUGUACCAGCUUUUGAUCGAGUAGAUUUUGAAAUUUUUGCCCCUCUAAACCAAAUGGUCAUCUUGAUCACAGCUUGAUAAAGGUAUGUCUAGUGUACUUCGUGUAGUUUCCUCAGCAAAAAAGUUUUCAAUAAUUUCUUCUUUCCAUAAAGCCGUAUGUAAUAGCCUAUUUUUCAGUGAAAUUAGAACAGUAGUCUCGGAAAAA